Molecule: long non-coding RNA, 6362 nt
Filed under: Ananas comosus (pineapple)
Lineage: Eukaryota; Viridiplantae; Streptophyta; Magnoliopsida; Poales; Bromeliaceae
Description: long non-coding RNA (ACOM_LNC032989)
Source: RNAcentral
UAUUGAGCUUGAGUUAUUACUAAAUAGCUUCUUCCAACAUCCAAAAUAAACAUUUUGGCCCUAUUUGGAUUUCAGAAUAAAUUAUUUAAUGAUAAUUUAUCUAUUAUAUGAAUUUUCUUGUGUGGUUGCAAGUUAGGAUGUUGAUUUUAACUCUUUAAAAUGUUUUACCAUCUAGUACUUAGUAAAAUAGACUGUAUUUCACUUAUAAGACAGUUAUCUUAUAUUUAGGGUGCAUUUGGUUCGACAUAAUCAAAUAUUUAAAAUUUUUUAAUCAGAUUACUACUAAUGCUGUAUUAUCACGUUUGGUUUAAUGCAGGAAUAUAAUGCUGGAUUUGGUUUAAUGUAGAAAUAUAAUGCUCGAUUACAGUGUAUAUAAUAGAAUUAUUAUGUUUGAUUUAUUUUAUAAAAUUCAGUCAUGGUGAUAAUAAAGUGUAAUUUAUUUCAAAAUUACUCUUACCAUAUUUAGCAAAUUUUUUAUUGUUGACAAGUAGUUUUUUUUUAACUAAAUUUUAUUUUAAAAUAAUUUAAAUUUUGAAUUUAAAUUUUAAAUUUAAAAUAUGAACAAAAAUAUGAAAUUUAAUAUUUUAAUUUAAAAUAUAAAUUUGAAAAAAAGUUUAGGAUUUAAAAUUUAAAAUCUAAAUAUAAAAUUUAGAAUUUAAAAUAUAGAUUUAAAAAUUAAAAAUUAAAAAUUAAAAAUUGAAAUUUAAAAAUAGUUAAGAUGGAGAAAAGUUAAUGAUUUGAAAGUUGAAACUGCUGCUUCUAGAGGAAGAAAUCGUGACCGAGAGCCCUAUUUUUCAACCAUUUAUUUAUAGUGAGACCCAUUCAACGUGUAAAUUUAUAGAAUUAAAUAAGUUUAGUAUAGUAAAAAAAAUAAAAUUUUUCUAACUUUAUUAGUAAUUUAAUCAAAUUUAAUAAUUUUAAUUAUUUUUAGAAAAUAAAAUUAUAUUAAUCAAUAGAGUCAUUAAAUUUGAUAAACUUUUUAACUUACCUAAACAUAAAAAGUACAACGGAUUUUAGUAAGGGGAAAAAAGAAAAGAAAAAAGAAAAACCUAUUUCAAACUGGCCUAUAGUUUGGGUGGAUUAUCCAUACAUAUUUUUACCCAUAUACUAAUAUGGUUGGGCAAUUAGGCCUAUUAAUUUUAUAUAAUCCUUUAUGCAAAUAAAUUUUUAUUUUGAGAGAAAGGUAACACGCAAUUUACUUUAUUCAUUAGGUAAAUGAAUUUAGUUAUACAGAGUGAUACACAGCUAAGAUCUUAAAAAAGAUGAAAGAUCAAAAGAAAAAAAAAUUAAAAAAAAAAUCAGAGUAGAAGCAGAAACAAACGUCAAAACAAAGAGUGUAUCUAACGUCGACGUCACCCAGCUCUACAAAAAUUGGCCCACUGCUUAACCCGCACUCAAUAUGAUGAGCGGUUAAGAUAGUGUUAGUUGGUAGGUUCUAAAUAAAUGUCAAAUAAAAAUCUCUAAUGAAAAAUUACAAACAAAGUUACCAUUUUUUAUGAGUACAUUUCCCAACUUAGGAGUUAGGAUUGGUGAUACACACGCUUUUUCUCUACAUAAUAUUAUCUCUUAAUAAGCGUUUUUUUUUUUUUUUCCUCUCUUGUAUCGCACUAUCAUCAAUAAUGGAGGAUUGGCUUUUGCAUCUUGUAGCACUAGCCGCUUCCAUACUUGUAACCCUCCUUCUCUCCUCGCUCCUGAAACCGUCGAGGCCGCGCAAAACCGCCUCCCUCCCCUUCCCGCCGGGGCCGCGGUCUCUCCCCGUCGUCGGCCCGCUCUUCGCGCUCCUCCGCCGCGGCCGAUCGAAUUUCGACGUCGACCAGCUCCUCCGCCGCCUCCGCCGCCUGCACAGCCGGCACGGCCCGAUCCUCUCCGUCCGCCGUCUGUCCUCCUCCCGCCCGGCCGUCUUCAUCGCCGACCGCGUCCUCGCCCACCGCGCCCUCGUCGCGCGCGGCGCGGAGUUCGCCGACCGCCCCCCGGCCUCCGGGUCCAGCGCAGUCCUCUCCAGCAACCAGCGCAGCAUCAGCUCCGCCCCCUACGGCCCCCUCUGGCGCGCCCUCCGCCGCAACCUCGCCGCCGAGCUCCUGCACCCCUCGCGCCUCCGCGCCCACUCCCCCGCGCGCCGGUGGGCCCUCGACCUGCUCGUAAGAGAUCUCGGAACCGAAUCUAGCGGCGGUGCAGCAGCAGCCGUCGUCGUCAUGGAGAGCUUCCAGUUCGCCAUGUUCUGCCUGCUCGUCCUCAUGUGCUUCGGCGAGCGGCUGCCCGACGAGCAGAUACGCCGGAUCGAGUCCCUGCAGCGGGAGCUCCUCUCCAACUUCAUCAGCUUCAGUGUCCUCGCCGUGUAUCCUAAAAUCACCAGGCUGCUCUUCCGGGGCCGGUGGAAGAAGCUCAUGGAAAUUCGGCGGAAGCAGGAGGAGACGUUCGUGCCGCUGAUCGAUGCGCGGAGGAAUGAUCUGCUGCUGCUGCGGCGGCGGCGGUCGGAGGAGGACGGGUUCGUUUAUUCGUACGUCGACUCGCUGGUCGAUCUCGAAAUUCCGGUGGACGGCGGAAGGAAGCUGACGGACGGCGAGAUCGUCAGCCUUUGCUCCGAGUUUCUGAGCGCCGGCACCGACACGACCGCCACCUCGCUGCAGUGGAUCAUGGCCAACCUCGUAAAGCAGCCCGAUGUGCAGACGAAACUGUAUGAAGAAAUCGAACGUGUGGUCGAGAAGGACGCUGCGGUGCGAGAGGAGGACCUGCAGCGGAUGCCGUAUCUGAAGGCGGUGGUGCUGGAGGGGCUGCGGCGGCACCCGCCGGGGCACUUUGUGCUGCCGCACGCGGUGACGGAGGAGGCGGAAUUCGAGGGGUAUCGGAUUCCGAAGGGCGCGGCGGUGAAUUUCGCGGUGGCGGAGAUAGGGUGGGACGGGGCGGUGUGGACGGAGCCGAUGGAGUUUCGCCCUGAGAGGUUUCUGGAAGGUGGGGAAGGGGACGGGGUGGACAUAACGGGGGGUCGGGAGAUCAGGAUGAUGCCGUUCGGGGCGGGGCGGAGGAUUUGCCCCGGGAUGGGGCUCGCGCUGCUCCACCUCGAAUACUUUGUUGCGAAUUUGGUGAAAGAGUUCGAGUGGAAGCCGGCGGCGGAGGGGGAGGAGGUCGACAUGACGGAGAAGUUCGAGUUCACCGUGGUUAUGAAGACGCCGCUCCGGGUGAUAAUCUUGCCCAGAAAGAGAACUUGAGCAUGCAGAGCAACAAAAAAAGUCCUUCAUCAACACACUAUAAAAUUCAGAAUAUUAUAGUGUGUAAGUAUUUUAGUUAUAAAUGUCUUUUUGUUUUUGCUUUUAGUUUUAGCUAUAAUUAUUGAGGACAGAGCAUAUCUAGCAAUUAUUGCAGCAGUAAUUAGAAAUAAGAUUUAGCUUAUGUUGUUGUAUUCAUAUGAGGUUGCUUGAUGUUUUGAAUAAGAGAUUCUGUUCUAUGAGAUUGAUGAAUAUAUUAAACUUUUUUGAUGCAAAUGAUGUGAGUUUGUAAGACUCAAACUAUUAAAUAUCUUAAACAUGACUUGUAAUUACAACAUAAUCAUGUUUGUAUUAAGCCUUAAGAGGUUGUUGUGUACUUGUUCUUGUGUUUGUGUUUCUCAUGACACUUGUGUAGUAGUAAAGAUUAUAACUGUGGUGGUUGCUUAUCUUUCUUUUUUGUGCAUGUUAAAGCAUUUGUGAGAUUUUAUUUUGUAUAGAGCUGUUCGUCUAAUCUGUCUCAUCUCAUACAUUAAUUAAAUAAUAUAAAUUUUGUAUGGCUUAUACUUUAUGGUUAUGGUACAUUUUGCAUCUUUUCUUUUUCUGCUACAUAGACUAAUUAUCUUUCAAAAGAGUGCUGCUAUAAAUAUCCUAUAAAGUAUCCUACAAUACUAUUGAUGAAAUAGCUACAUUAUUAUUAUAUUUUAAACAUUAAUUACUAAACCCUAAAUAUUAUUAUUAAAUCCUAAGCACCAUUAUUAUAUCCUAUAAUCGUAAUCCCUCUACAUAUAUAUAUAUAUAUGCUAACACAUCAACAAUAUAUUUUUCACCAUUUUUUUUUUCAAUUUUUCUUUUUUUUUUUUAUUUUGAGGAAACAUGGAUGUACCCUAUUUGUGAGAGCAAUACAAAAAACCACAGCCAAGAGUCUGAAGUCAAAAUCCAGGAAAACUGAGACUAGGAGCAACAUAAUAGUAAAGAAAAGAACUAAACAAAAGUAAAAAAGUUUGGAAUAGCUAAAGUAUUAGACUCCUAUUAGCCUCCUACCACAGAUAACCAAAACUUCACCCUAUUAAUGACCCUGUAACCAAAGCUUCACCGUAUUGAUGACCUUGUUUCCGAUCUCUUCACAGCGGAUAAGGCGGUCGUUGAAGAUUCGCGAGUUUCUCUGCUUCCAUAAUUCCCAACACGCCGCUGCCAAACAGAGAUCAAAGUUUCUCUUUAAAAGCCCCUUUAACGAUUGUCUUGCUCGAUUCCACCGGGUUGGUAAGCUACUUGGGAGAUCAGUCACCAAUUUUUGAGUAGUUGGAAUAUCUUGUAGGAGGUAGUUCCACACCAUCGUAGAGUAUGUGCUCAAGUUUUUCGUCAUUAGCAUAGCAAAAAACACAGAUUGAGGGGCCUUGCCAACCCCUCGUAGAUAAAUUGUCGGCUGUCAAGAUUUUGUUGCGGCCAGCAAGCCACAAAAAAAUUUAACUCUUAAGGGGAUUUUUAGUUUCCAGAGAAAAGGGGUAUUGCAUGCAUCAAUUCCAUCAAAAAUUAGGAAGUCAUAAGCUUUCCGCACAGAGAACUUUCCAUCCGCACUCCAGCGCCAAAUAGCCUUGUCGUCGGAAUCAGAAAGCGCGGUAUUGUGAACCAAAGCAUUGAACGGCAGAAGCUCUCCCUGCUGUUGCUCUCCUAUACACAGUGUAGGGUGGAAGUCCAGACCGGUAUUGUGUGCAAGACGUCGAAUCCAAUUUUUGAUUGAUAGGUGCUUGUGAGUCGAUAAUGCGUACAGAUUUGGGAAUUUGUGAGUCGAUAAUCCAAUUUUUCAAUUUUUCUGAGAAAAUAGUUCUAGGUGUUGGAUCGAUCAAACCGGUAGUUGAACUGGUUUCUGAAUUAACCCGAUCCAACCGACUAUUAGAGAGCGAGAGAUCAUAAGUGCGAGAAAGGAUUCGAAUCUCGCAUCUAGCAAAUUUGUGCAGAUGCUAAAGUGUAUUGUUGGAUUGGCCCAAGUCAAUAAAGACUGUCGGCUUUAAAUGAAUUGAUUGUAUCUUCCUAACACUCGAAUUUUUGAAAUUAAUGAUUAGCGCCAAUAAUCUGACAUAAAGCUUGGAUGUACUGUUUGGAAAGUCCAAAGAGCAAGCUUAGAUUUAAUUCACCUAGUGGGACUUGAUUAUCAUGUUCUGUGGUUGGAUUUAAGUCAAAUCAAUUAAGUUAAUUGGAUCAGAUCAGAUAUAAUUUAGUUCCAAUUGAUCCGAUUCAGUCGUAUUGAGCUCAAGGCAAAAUUGCAUUAAAUAUCUUCCCCAUCCAUGUCGAUAUAUUCUCCAAACUGAAUUUGCGCUCCAUUUAAAUUAAAAUUUUUAAAUUUUCAUCGUUCGAAUUUUCAAGCUUCAUCCCAUUCGAUCCCAAUAUCGUAUUCAAAAUUCAAACUAAAUUUUGAAUUUUGAAACUUUGAAGCCUCAACUAAUUAACUCCCAACACGGAAGAGCUAUUCUACCUAUGUAGUAGAGACGUUCAAGGUGUGAGGCUUGUGGAGAUCUUAGGAUGCAAAUUGGGCUCACUCCCGAUUCGUUACCUCGGACUUCCUCUUACGAAUAGUCGACUACGAAAGGAGGAUUGAUGGCACGUUAUGAGUAAAAUUGAAAGAACCAAUUGAAGGAUAGCAAGCUAAACUCUUUUGUCGAGGAGGCAGGCUGGUCCUCAUAAAUUCAGUCCUUUUGAAACUGCUGCUAUAUUUCUUCUCUAUUUUUAAAGCGUCUAAAUGGGUCAUACGACGUGUAGAAACCCUCCGGAGGGCUUUUUUUUUUUGGGAAAGGAGGGAAUAAUGUCACUGGUGUUAGAAAAAAUAUCGCACAGAAAUCUGAUUGUAAUUAAAAUCUAACUAGUUUUAAGAUGAAAAUAAAUAAAUCAACUUACAGAUAAUUGCAAAUAUCCAAAUAAUAAUUUGAACUUAUCCGGAAGCGUGUGAGGCACUGUCCUAAAAUGUAUUUCCGUUCUUACGUGCAGGAUUAACCGGGAACAACACCCUAAGGUACGACCGGAAUUCUUCCUCCUGUGAGCACGAUCGUGAAAGAGGUUGACGGAGACUCUUUCAACACCCAGAGACAAAGGAAUCAAGAAAAUAAAAAAUUAAUGAAAGAACUUUAAAAAAAAAAAAAAAAACUCUCUUUUCCACUUGUUGUUUUU